AUCGUCGUCCCCCCAUCCUCUCGAGGAUAUGGGACGGAAGCUGGUCUCCCGUGUGUUACCGCACGCGGUUGGCCAAAAUCCGAGCUAAGGACGUUUUGGAGCGUCUCGACAUGCGGUGGUGAAUUGUAACCUCGUCAUAUUGUCGGUCGUUCCGGUUCAAAAGCUCUUGAUGACCCAAAGUCCUCAAC
Molecule: unclassified non-coding RNA, 188 nt
Filed under: Sinapis alba (white mustard)
Lineage: Eukaryota; Viridiplantae; Streptophyta; Magnoliopsida; Brassicales; Brassicaceae
Source: RNAcentral